This 148-nucleotide small RNA is filed under the name Papio anubis (olive baboon). RNAcentral describes it as "Metazoan signal recognition particle RNA (ENSPANG00000047463.1)". The record is from Rfam by way of RNAcentral. Lineage: Eukaryota; Metazoa; Chordata; Mammalia; Primates; Cercopithecidae.
GCCGGGCAUGGUGGCGGGUGCCUGUAAUCCCAGAUACUCGGGAGGCUGAGGCAGGAGAAUCACUUGAACCCGGGAGGCGGAGGUUGCAGUGAGCCAAGAUUGUGCCACUGUACUCCAGCCUGGGCGACAGAGUGAGAUUCUGUCUCAA